GGACACGUGAAAUCCUGGUUGAAGAUGGGUGGACCAUCAUCCAAGGCUAAAUACUACUUACUGACCGAUAGUGAACCAGUACCGUGAGGGAAAGGUGAAAAGAACCCCGGAGAGGGGAGUGAAAUAGAAUCUGAAACCGUUUGCGUACAAGCAGUGGGAGCAUAGUUUAGGCUGUGUGACUGCGUACCUUUUGUAUAAUGGGUCAGCGAGUUACUUUCAGUGGCGAGGUUAACUGAAUAAGGGAGCCGUAGAGAAAUCGAGUCUGAAUAGGGCGAUAGUCGCUGGGAGUAGACCCGAAACCGGGCGAUCUAGCCAUGUGCAGGAUGAAGGUUGGGUAACACCAACUGGAGGUCCGAACCGGGUAAUGUUGAAAAAUUAUCGGAUGACGUGUGGCUAGGAGUGAAAGGCUAAUCAAGCCCGGAGAUAGCUGGUUCUCCCCGAAAGCUAUUUAGGUAGCGCCUCGUGAAUGAUUACUGGGGGUAGAGCACUGUUUCGGCUAGGGGGCUGUCAUGGCUUACCAAACCGAUGCAAACUCCGAAUACCGGCUAAUUGAAUCACGGGAGACACACGGCGGGUGCUAACGUCCGUCGUGGAGAGGGAAACAACCCAGACCGCCAGCUAAGGUCCCCAAGUACUAGUUAAGUGGGAAACGAUGUGGGAAGGCAUAGACAGCCAGGAGGUUGGCUUAGAAGCAGCCACCCUUUAAAGAAAGCGUAAUAGCUCACUGGUCGAGUCGGCCUGCGCGGAAGAUGUAACGGGGCUAAAACUAGUCACCGAAGCUGCGGAUGUGCGCGAAGGCGCACGUGGUAGGGGAGCGUUCUGUAGGCUGAUGAAGGUGCAUUGAGAAGUGUGCUGGAGGUAUCAGAAGUGCGAAUGCUGACAUGAGUAACGAUAAUGUGGGUGAAAAGCCUACACGCCGGAAGUCCCAGGUUUCCUGCACGACGUUAAUCGGAGCAGGGUGAGUCGGCCCCUAAGGCGAGGCUGAAGAGCGUAGUCGAUGGGAACCAGGUUAAUAUUCCUGGACUUUUUAUAAGUGGUGAAGUGGGGACGAAGAA
RNAcentral lists this ribosomal RNA (1055 nucleotides) under Legionella pneumophila subsp. pneumophila. RNAcentral's name for it is "partial 23S ribosomal RNA". It matches the Rfam family "Bacterial large subunit ribosomal RNA", at positions 420 to 1479 of the family's 2925-position model. The record is from RNAcentral. Lineage: Bacteria; Pseudomonadati; Pseudomonadota; Gammaproteobacteria; Legionellales; Legionellaceae.